GGAUUAGGCAUGCAAGUCGCACGAGAAAGGUUCUUCGGAAGCCGAGUACAGUGGCGAACGGGUGAGUAAUGCAUAGACAGCUCGCCCUUGAGAUGGGGACAACGCCUCGAAAGGGGUGCUAAUACCCAAUGCCGCCUUGGGCCCGCGGGUCCAGGGUGAAAGGAGGCCUCUGAUUCAAGCUUCCGCUCAAGGAGAGGUUUAUGUCCUAUUAGCUAGUUGGCGGGGUAACGGCCCACCAAGGCUGCGAUGGGUAGCCGACCUGAGAGGGUGACCGGCCACAUUGGGACUGAGACACUGCCCAGACUCCUACGGGAGGCUGCAGUCGAGAAUCUUCCGCAAUGCGCGCAAGCGUGACGGAGCGACGCCGCGUGGGUGAUGAAGGCCUUCGGGUUGUAAAACCCUGUCAGCUACUACGAAACACGGGCGAUGAACAAUCGUCCCGUCUGACUUAAGUAGCAGAGGAAGCACCGGCUAACUACGUGCCAGCAGCCGCGGUAAUACGUAGGGUGCAAACGUUGUUCGGAAUCACUGGGCAUAAAGGGCGCGUAGGCGGUCUGAUAAGUCAGGUGUGAAAUCCCUCGGCCUAACCGAGGAACUGCAUUUGAUACUGUCGGGCUAGAGUACAGGAGGGGAGAGUGGAAUUCCUGGUGGAGCGGUGAAAUGCGUAGAUAUCAGGAGGAACGCCGGCGGCGAAAGCGACUCUCUGGCCUGUUACUGACGCUGAGGCGCGAAAGCUAGGGGAGCAAACGGGAUUAGAUACCCCGGUAGUCCUAGCCCUAAACGAUGGGCACUAAGUAGAGGGGUUUU
RNAcentral lists this ribosomal RNA (807 nucleotides) under uncultured Planctomycetota bacterium. Its description in RNAcentral is "bacterial SSU rRNA". It matches the Rfam family "Bacterial small subunit ribosomal RNA", at positions 46 to 832 of the family's 1533-position model. The record is from RNAcentral. Lineage: Bacteria; Pseudomonadati; Planctomycetota.